UUUAACUUCAUGUGCCAAGAGAGAGAAGGAGACGCCGGAGAAAUAAAAAAACCAAACUUUAGUUAAGAUAGAUCCAACUAAAAAAUCUGUUUGGAGCUUUGAUUCGAGUUAAAAAAAAAAAAAAACUAAAAUUCAGGGUGGAGAGGCGAUGAACGGAAUACAUAAAUCUGGAAACGCGGUGGUGCACCACCACCAGAGAAAUCUCUCUGAUAAUCUUCUCGACAUGUGUUCCUCCUGUGGCAGAUGGCUCUAAUCCACUGGUUUCCCACACUUUCAGCCAUCCCCAUUUGGUGUGUGUACACAUGAUUACGGAUACUAUGCUGCUGGUGGCCAACUCUGCAAGGUUCUGGAAACAGGAGUUAGCGCCGGAGAUUAGAAGCCGGAGUAAGCGGCGGCGAUGGUUCUUAUGAAGGGGUAAUUGGACUACUGUAACCGGAGGCGAACAGUGACCAAAGAGUCAACUAAGGCGAGUCAGAGCCACCACCACAAGACUGAAUCAAGAAGAAGAAGAAUGCAUGUCUUCAACCUAGGUCCGUUGCUAGGCGAUAAAUUAGUUUAGCAAGCUAAUAGAUAUAAGUUUUUGUAUUCAUCUUUUUUUUUGGAUAAUGUUAUAUUUACUCACAUAGGUACAAUUCAUAUAGUUGAUAUUUAUGUUAGGUGGUUAUAAUGUGACUUGUUUA
Brassica oleracea var. oleracea is the source of this 680-nucleotide long non-coding RNA. RefSeq lists it as uncharacterized. NCBI's taxonomy places the organism in Eukaryota, Viridiplantae, Streptophyta, Magnoliopsida, Brassicales, Brassicaceae. The transcript has 2 exons. The record is from RefSeq and is a predicted model, not a curated record.